CGCUUCUGGUCUCCUCUCUACUCUUUUCAGAGCAUGGCUCCUUUAAGUCCAGGAGAAGCUGGUUUGCAGAGGAAGUCCGACCAGACACUGAGCAGAGUGAAUGGCUGUGCCGAUCUAGCCACACCUAUUUCAUAUGUUUCUUUAGUGUCUUUCAGCUUGCCCAUUCGUCCAUCCCUGCCUGAUUUGUUCUUAGAUUUGCCCCCAAGACGCUGGUCUUGGCUUGUCCUAGUUUGAACUUGGUGUCUCUGGCGAUUGACUCAUGUUCUGACCUCCACCCAUCCCCAAUUCUGCUUUUCUACUCUUUGGCGUCUCCAAGCACCUGACCUCAGCUCAACCUGCCUCUGGCCUUGUUUCUCCUGCCUGACACCAACAGCUGGAAAGAACCCUGCCCUUCUAUGAGGAGAGAGAUGAGGCUCAGCGUGGUUUACCGGAAAUAAAGCUUGCAUUAUGGGAGGGAACAAACAGUCUCCAGGUGAGAAAUUAUGGGAACUGUCACGCCAAAUCAGCUGGUCGCCCUUAUGUCAUGGGAUCCGGACCAGGAGGAGAAGGCUGGCCGGGCGGAGUGCAUGUGAUCAGCGUGUGACAGGCCGUGCAUCCAGCCUGCUGAUGGCACUGGCUCUCCUGGCCCAAGUAACCACAAAAAGGAACAGAUUUCAGACAGGCAGUUUUACAGCGUCCCUGUGGUUACUUUGCAACUUCCAGCCACUUCUUUCUCUAGCACUGAACCAAAGAGACACGUAACCAUUAUCAAAAUGUUCUGAAUAUACAGGUCACUCCGUUUCAGUUAUCUUUAAUCUGAGGUGCAUCGAUUUACCUUUCCACACCAAUCCACUCAAUUUACGUUUAGCUCAAGCUUUCAAAUUAAUUGCAUCCUGAAUUUAAAAAACAAAACAAAACAGUUUAGGGAGGUGAAGACUGUUCUCUGUCGCUGGAAAGAUUGAGAUGACCGGCUUUUCCAGAGAGCCUUUAAAAGGUUUUUCGUUGUAGCCACGGCCAGUUGUGAUAUUUUUCCCCAACCCUCAUCUGUAGCAGGGCACCUGCUGCUAAUGUUUCAUUUUCUGUGGUUUUUAUUUAAAAUGUCUCCAUCACGUUU
Molecule: long non-coding RNA, 1093 nt
Organism: Herpailurus yagouaroundi (jaguarundi)
Lineage: Eukaryota; Metazoa; Chordata; Mammalia; Carnivora; Felidae
Exons: 2
Source: RefSeq, a predicted model, not a curated record